Molecule: long non-coding RNA, 5319 nt
Filed under: Gossypium barbadense (sea-island cotton)
Lineage: Eukaryota; Viridiplantae; Streptophyta; Magnoliopsida; Malvales; Malvaceae
Description: long non-coding RNA (GBAR_LNC001093)
Source: RNAcentral
CUCUUCCUUCAUUUUCUAAUAUUAUUAGAUUAUUCUAUAAAGUAUUGCUGCAGAAAUCCUUUGUAGAAAUUGAGUUUUUGUUAUACAUUACUCAGUGCAUAGUGGACUAUUCUCGUCAGUGCAAAACGCAAAUAGUCAUUGGCUUCAUUGUAUCCUCGAGGUUAAUUUGCUUGGAACUCAUUUGCACACUGAAGAUAAGUGGGGGCGAAUAUAACCUUAAAGAUAGUGGCUUGGUACACGCCUUGGAGCCUGUCCUAUUUCUUCUUUUUCUUUUCGAGUUCCGAUCGUGUGUUCGAGUUUUUUUUUCUUACCGGAGUUUUGUACUAACAAUUUUAAGGUUAUAUUUCAUGAUGACUACCACAACACAUGAAAGUGGAACACUAAGGGAGUUGGCUUCCAACUUUGUUAAACUUGAUCGUUUUGAUGGUGGCAAUUUUCGACGAUGGCAGAAAAAGAUGCACUUUUUGUUAUCAACUUUGAAGAUUGCUUAUGUUUUGGAUACUCCAAGACCUGAAGAGAAUGAAAACGAAUCUAUUGCUGCAACCCGAGAAAGACAAAAAUGGGACAAUGCUGAUUACAUGUGCAUGGGCCACAUAUUGAAUGGUUUAUCUGAUGGUUUGUUCGACACCUACCAAAACGACGUCACCGCUAAAGAAUUAUGGGACAAAUUGGAGGCAAGAUACAUGACCGAAGAUGUUACAAGUAAGAAAUUUCUUGUCAGUCGUUUCAAUAAUUAUCAAAUGGUUGAUGGUCGUUCUGUUAUGGAACAAUUUCGUGAUAUUGAAAAGAUGUUGAAUCAAUUUAAGCAAUAUGAUAUGAAAAUGGAUGAAAUGAUUAUGGUAUCCUCCAUAAUAGACAAACUUCCUCCAUCUUGGAAAGACUUUAAAAGAAGUCUAAAACAUAAGAAAAAGGAAAUAUCUCUUGAGGCUUUGGCAAAUCAUCUUCGUAUUAAAGAAGAGUAUCGAAAACAAGAUCAGAACCUAAAUUCUGAAAAUGCCAAAGUACAUGUUACGGAGGAAGUACAGACUACUAAACCAUUCAAGAGAAAGUUUAAUCAGACUGAUAGAGCACCUAAGUUCAAAAAGAAACAAAAGGGCUCAUGCUAUCAUUGUGGAAAGCCGGGACAUUUCAAGAAUGAAUGUCGAUUUUUAAAGAAGAAAUCAUCUUCUAAGGCUGAUAAUAACGAAAAGUUCGUUGCAAUGAUAUCUGAAAUUAAUAUGGCACAAGAUGAUAAUACAUGGUGGAUUGAUACCGGAGCAACCAAACAUGUGUGCAAAGACAAAAGCAUGUUCACAAAGUUCACACAAUGUGAAAAUGACAAUGUCUUGUACAUGGGAAAUUCUUCCACCGCAACAAUUAAAGGCAAAGGGUCUGUUGAACUACAAUUCACUUCUGGAAAGGUUUUAACCUUAAAUGAUGUAUAUUAUGUACCAGAAGUUAGGAAAAAUUUAGUGUCUGGAAGUCUGUUGAAUAAGUUUGGUUUCAAACUUGUUUUUGAGGCAGAUAAGUUUAUUUUGUCUAAGGGAGGAAUUUUUGUGGGAAAAGGGUAUAUGUAUGAAAGCAUGUUCAAACUUAAUAUUAUUAAUAAGAAUAAAAAUACUAUUUCUGCUUAUAUGGUUGAAUCAUUUUGUUUGUGGCAUUAUAAAUUAGGUCUUUUGAAUUAUAGAAAAUUGAAUGACAUGUAUAAAUUAGAUUUAAUUCCUGUUUUUAAUAAUAAUAUUGAAAAAUGCAAUACAUGUAUGUUGACUAAAAUUACAAGAAAUCCUUUCCCUAAGGUUAAAAGGAAAACAAAAUUGCUUGAUUUGAUACAUAGUGAUUUAUGUGACUUGCAUAAUACUCCUACAUUAGGUGGAAAGAAAUAUUUUGUUACUUUUAUUGAUGAUUGUUCUAGAUAUUGUUAUGUAUAUUUAUUGCAUUCAAAAGAUGAAGCGCUUGAUAAAUUUAAAGUUUAUAAAUCUGAAGUUGAACUUCAGUGUGAAUCAUUUAUCAAGUGCUUAAGAUCGGAUAGAGGUGGAGAAUACUAUAAUCCAAGUUAUUUUGAACUCACUAGAAUUGUCCAUCAAGUUUCAGCCCCUUACACACCACAACAAAAUGGUGUAGCUGAAAGGAAAAAUAGAGUCUUGAUUGAAAUGGUAAAUUCAAUGUUAUCAUAUUCAGGUCUUGGACAGGGUUUUUGGGGAGAAGCUGUUCUAACAGCUUGUCAUAUAUUGAAUAGAGUUCCUAAUAAGGAAACUAAAAUAACCCCCUAUGAACAAUGGAAGAAAAGGAAACCAAACCUUAAUUAUUUAAAGGUUUAGGGUUGUAGAGCUAUUGUAAAAGUUCCAACACCUAAACGUAAAAAGUUAGGUGAAAGAGGAAUUGAAUGCAUAUUUAUAGGUUAUGCACAUAAUAGCAAGGCAUAUAGGUUCAUAGUAAUUGAACCAAAUGAUUCAAUUUCAAUUAAUACGGUUAUUGAAUCAAGAGAUGCUAUUUUUGAUAAAAAUAGAUUUAAUUCUAUAUCAAGACAAUUACAACCACAACAAUUGAUUCAUUCUUCAAAUGAGAAUGAGAUUCCAUUGAAACAAAUUGAUAAUAAUGAUGAAUCUUGUCAAGAAUUAAGAAGAAGUAAGAGGAUUAAAAAGGUCAAAGAUUUUGGACCAGAUUUCAUUAUGUUUCUUGUAGAAGGAAAAGGUGAAAGUAUAUGCAAUAAGAUACCUUAUUGUUAUAAUACCGAAUCUGAUCCUAUUACAUUUGAAGAAGCAGUGAAAUCUCAAGACUCUGCUUUUUGGAAAGAAGCAAUAAAUGAUGAAAUGGAUUCAAUAAUGGGAAAUCAAACUUGGAUCUUAGUUGAUCUUCCACCAGGUUCCAAACCAAUAGGUUGUAAAUGGAUCUUCAAAAAGAAAAUGAAGGUCCAUGGAACCAUUGAUAAAUUUAAAGCAAGGUUGGUAGCAAAAGGUUUUACACAAAGACAAGGUAUUGAUUACUUUGAUACCUAUGCUCCAGUAGCAAGAAUUGCUACAAUUAGACUAUUAAUAUCACUUACCUCUAUAUAUAAUUUGGUUGUUCACCAAAUGGAUGUUAAAACUGCAUUUUUAAAUGGUGAAUUGGAAGAGGAAGUGUACAUGGAGCAACCGGAAGGAUUUGUUGUUCCAGGACAAGAGCAUAAGGUAUGUAAGCUUGUUAAAUCUUUAUAUGGGCUUAAACAAGCACCAAAACAAUGGCACCAAAAGUUUGACAAGGUUGUUUUAGCUAAUGGCUAUAAAAUAAAUGAAUCCGAUAAGUGCAUAUAUAGUAAAUUUGAUAAUGGAAAGGGUGUUAUAAUUUGCUUAUAUGUAGAUGACAUGCUCAUUUUUGGCACGGAUUUGGAACAAAUAGAAAACACAAAGAAAUUCUUGUCAAACAACUUUGCUAUGAAGGAUAUGGGUGUAGCAGAUGUUAUUCUUGGGAUUAAAAUAACCCGAGAUGAAAGCACUAUAGCUUUAUCACAAUCACAUUACAUUGAAAAUGUGCUUAAAAAGUUUGAUCUUUUCAACUGUAUACCAGCAUCUACACCCAUGGAUCCUCAAUUAAAAUUAGUAUCUAAUGCUGGUAGGAAAAUUGAUCAAUUGAAAUAUGCAAGUCUAAUUGGUUGUCUUAUGUACAUAAUGACUUGUACAAGACCAGAUAUUGCAUAUGCUAUUGGAAAAUUGAGUAGAUACACAAGUAAUCCAAGUAGUUUGCAUUGGCAAGCUUUAAAUAGAGUACUUAGGUACUUAAAGAAAACUAUUAACUGUGGAUUGUGUUAUAAUGGAUAUCCUCCAGUUUUAGAAGGGUAUUCGGAUGCUAGUUGGAUUACAAGUUUGGAAGAUCAUGCAUCUACUAGUGGGUGGAUCUUCAUUCUUGGUGGAUGAGUCAUUUCUUGGGGUUCCAAGAAACAAACAUGUAUUACUGAUUCCACCAUGGCAGCAGAAUUUAUUGCAUUAGCCGCUGCAUCUAAAGAAGCAGAAUGGUUAAGAAAUUUGCUUUAUGAUGUACCUUUAUGGCUUAAGCCAAUUUCACCUAUUUCUAUCCGUUGUGAUAGUGAGGCUACUCUAGCAAAGGCAUAUAGCCAAGUAUAUAAUGGAAAGUCUAGACACAUUGGAUUAAGACAUAGUUAUGUCCGACAAUUAAUCUCUGAUGGAGUGAUCACUAUUAAUUAUGUGAGGUCAAGUGAAAAUUUGGCAGAUCCUUUGACAAAAAGUCUUGCUAGAGAUGCAGUAAAAAGGACCUCAAAAGGGAUGGGACUCAAGCCUAUUAAUUAGAGUCACCCAUGAUGGAAACUCGACUCAACGCUUGGUAUAACGUCAAGUCUUGAGUUCAAUGAGACAAAAUACAUCAUUAGUAUGUGACUGUUAGCACUAUAAAUAAAUCCAUCCUAAGAUUAAAGUGCUAGGUACUCGUAAUGAUAAGGGAAGGAUGAGUAAUGUACUCUUAAUGGACCCAUAACAUAAAUAUGUUAGAGUGUUAUAAUUACGGGAACACUUUUGAUGGGAUCUACCUAUGUGAGUGGAAGUGUGGCCGCUUCUAGGAGCUUAAGGGCUUGGCUCUGACAGCACUCAUGAAAAGAAGACAUAGACACAUGGCUAUAAUAGUGUCCCUAGAUACUAUGCAUUGACUGAUGUUGAAAUCAUUGUGUGAGAUGUGUUCAGUUAAUCAAAUGGAAUAGUUGGUUCAAAGCUUAGUCUACCAUACAAUUUCGAUUAACUUUAACAUGUUUUCACUAAGUGAAGGUUCAAUCGUAAGACACCUUUAUUUAUGCAAAUUGAUUUCCACGAAUAUCAAAAUCUAAAUAUUUUGAAAAUGGGGGGAGAUUGUUGGAAUAUUUUCAAAUAUUUAUAGUAUCCCAAUAACUAUAAAUGAAUAGGUGUAAUUAAUUAAAAGAUAAAACUUUUGGUCAUUGGUCAAAAGUUAUAUCAUUUGAUUUUUUUAAAAAAGAAUUAUAACUAUUCAAAAAAUAUUAUUUGAAUAGUUACAAAAUUAAAUGAAUAAUUAUUAUUUAUUUAUUCAUAAAGACACCUAUUGAAAGAUGUCUCUAUGAAGAGAUAUGAAAAUUCCUAUAAAUAGGAAUGAGAUUUCAUUUGGAAAUCAUAUCAACAAAUUCUAAUAUUAUUUCUUCUCUUCCUUCAUUUUCUAAUAUUAUUAGAUUAUUCUAUAAAGUAUUGCUGCAGAAAUCCUUUGUAGAAAUUGAGUUUUUGUUAUACAUUACUCAAUGCAUAGUGGACUAUUCUCGUCAGUGCAAAACGCAAAUAGUCAUUGGCUUCAUUGUAUCCUCGAGGUUAAUUUGCUUGGAACUCGUUUGCACACUGAAGAUAAGUGGGGGCG